Molecule: ribosomal RNA, 501 nt
Filed under: uncultured bacterium
Lineage: Bacteria
Description: partial 16S ribosomal RNA
Rfam family: Bacterial small subunit ribosomal RNA
Source: RNAcentral
AUUGAACGCUGGCGGCAGGCUUAACACAUGCAAGUCGAGCGGGGGAAGGUAGCUUGCUACCGGACCUAGCGGCGGACGGGUGAGUAAUGCUAAGGAAUCUGCCUAUUAGUGGGGGACAACAUCUCGAAAGGGAUGCUAAUACCGCAUACGUCCUACGGGAGAAAGCAGGGGAUCUUCGGACCUUGCGCUAAUAGAUGAGCCUAAGUCGGAUUAGCUAGUUGGGGGGGUAAAGGCCUACCAAGGCGACGAGCUGUAGCGGGUCUGAGAGGAUGAUCCGCCACACUGGGACUGAGACACGGCCCAGACUCCUACGGGAGUCAGCAGUGGGGAAUAUUGGACAAUGGGGGGAACCCUGAUCCAGCCAUGCCGCGUGUGUGAAGAAGGCCUUAUGGUUGUAAAGCACUUUAAGCGAGGAGGAGGCUACUCUAGUUAAUACCUAGGGAUAGUGGACGUUACUCGCAGAAUAAGCACCGGCUAACUCUGUGCCAGCCGCCGCCGUAA